UGAUCUCAAAUCAGGUAGGAUUACCCGCUGAACUUAAGCAUAUCAAUAAG
Molecule: ribosomal RNA, 50 nt
Filed under: Ceriporia sp.
Lineage: Eukaryota; Fungi; Basidiomycota; Agaricomycetes; Polyporales; Irpicaceae
Description: partial 28S ribosomal RNA
Source: RNAcentral